Molecule: long non-coding RNA, 4586 nt
Filed under: Salmo salar (Atlantic salmon)
Lineage: Eukaryota; Metazoa; Chordata; Actinopteri; Salmoniformes; Salmonidae
Description: lncRNA (ENSSSAG00000097712.1, ENSSSAG00000116026.1)
Source: RNAcentral
GCCUACCUCUUAGAGAGUAGUUGCUUUUUCAAUUUGCUCAGCGACCAAACGGAUUGAGAGAUGCUUUAAAAUGUUGUCUUUGUUAAUUUGUUGGUGGCUUUCCACACUCUGGGCGGCAAGGAUUUCAAGAGGCCCUGACGCCCCUAUUGUCAUAUUUGGAUCCCCAUUAGCUUUUGCCGAAGCAGCAGCUAUUCUUCCUGCAGCACACAAAAAUAUGAAACACGACAAGUAACAAAACACUGAUACGCUUAUAGACAAGAACAGUCACACACAUAUUUUAUAUAACAAAGUACUAACAAUAAUGUGUGUAUUAGAGUGUGUAUGUGUGUGUGUAUAAUUUCACAAUACCUAUUGUGCCAUGAGAUGUUGUUUUAUAACUUUUCUAAAGGUAAUUUUGCUGUUUGCUUGAGGAAUUGGAGAUGGAUGGGAGUUACAUGUGAUUAUGGCUCAGUAUAACACUGCAUUGCCGUGAAUUCGUUUUGGACCUGGGGACUGUGGUGGCAUGACUUGUGGGGGGCAGGCAAACGACAGGUCAAGGCAGGCAGGGGUCAAUAAUCUAGAGAACGUAUAAAGGCUCCAGAACGGCAGGCAGUCUCAGGGUCAGGGCAGGCAGAACGGUCAAAACCGGGAAGGACUAGAAAACAGGAGCAUGAAAACAGGCAGGAGCAGGGGAACAAACGCUGGUAGGUUUGAUGAAUAAGGGGGACCCAGGCGUCAUAGGGGCGCCACCUGGCAUCAUACCUGGGCACAUACCUGGUUGACCGGGGUGUCUGUGUUGGAAAUCUGCGAUGAGGCCUGGGCCCAGGAUGUCCCUGGAGGGGACCCAGCACCUCUCCUCUGGGCCAUAACCCUUCCAGUCAACCAGGUACUGGAACCCCCUUCCCCGAUGUCGAACCUUCAGGAGACGCCUCACCAUGUACACCAGUUGGCCGUCGUUGAGACGGGGAAGAGGUGUGGGCCUGGAAACAGAAGACAAAGGGCUGUGAGACAUGGGUUUAACUCUGAACACAUGAAAGGUGGGAUGUAUACGAAGGGUUCGGGGCAACAGAAGACGAACAGCAGAGGGGCUAAUAAUUUUGGAGAUGGGAAACGGGACAAUAAACCGGGGGGAGAGUUUGCGGGAUUACACCCGGAGGGGCAGAUCCCGGGUGUAUAGCCAUACCUUCUGCCCGAGACGAUACCGGGGAGCCGGGGUCCGGUGGCAAUCCGCUUGUCGUCGAUACAUGGAGGUGGUUUUGAAGAGGGCCGACUGAGCUUUCCUCCAGGUAUGACGAGAGCGGCGGACAAACAUCUGGGCAGAAGGUAUGCCGACCUCUUCUUCCUGCUCGGGGAAGAGAGGGGGCUAUUACCCCAGGGAACACUCAAAUGGCGAUAGGUCCGUGGCAGAGCAGGGAAGGGUGUUGCCGGCGUUUUCCACGCACACAAGUUGCUGGCUCCAGGUGGUGGGGUUGGCGGAGACCAGGCAGCGCAGAGUAGUCUCGAGGUCCUGGUUUGCUCGCUCCGACUAGCCGUUGGACUGGGGGUAGAACCCGGAGGACAGGCUUGCCGAUGACCCAAUGAGGGUGCAGAACACCUUCCAGAACCGGGACGAGAACUGAGGACCCCAGUUGGAGACCAUGUCCACGGGCAGUCCAUGGAUCAGGAAGAAGUGCUGCACCAUGAGCUGGGCCGUCUCCUUGUCAGAGGGUAGCUUCCAGAGAGGAAUGAAAUGGGCGGCCUUGGAAAAGCGAUCCACCACAGUCAGGAUGGCGGUGUUGCCAUCAGACGGGGAAAGACUUGUGACAAAGUCCAGGGAAAUGUGAGACCAGGGACGGUGAGGGGUUGGAGGAGACCAGGCAGCGCUUGCUGAGGAGUCUUGUUUUGUGCACAAAACGUGCAAGCGGGGACGAAUGUGGAGAUGUCAGGGACCAUGGUAGGCAACCAAAAGCAUUGUUGCAGAAAAGCCAAGGUCCGACAGGAGCCUGGGUGGCAGGCAAGUCUGGAGGAGUGGGCCCACUCCAAGACCGCGUCAGGCACGGGAAUGCUGCGCCUCCCGAACCUGCUUCCCUAUUCCCCAGCUGAGUGCCGUCGCCAGGCACGAGGUGGGAAGGAGGGUCUCAGGUUCUGGGGUAGUAGUCAUGGGGCUAUAGCGGCGUGACAGCGCAUCUGGCUUGAUGUUCAUUGAUCCCAGCCGGUAGGAGAGGGAGAAGUUGAACUGGGUGAACAGUAGGGCCCAUCUAGCCUGCCUGGAAUUGAGGGGCUUGGCAGUGUGGAGAUAUUCCAGUUUCUUGUGGUCAGUCCACACAAUGAAUGGAUGUUCCGCCCCCUCCAGCCAAUGCCUCCAACUCCUCGUGCCUUCCAAUGGUGGCUCCUUGGGAGGAGAUGGCAUUGCGGAGCUGGGCCGAGUCUGCUGGGUCAGUCUGGGCCAGUUCGUACUAUCACGUUUGAGGUAUGACCCAGAUGCAGACAGAGUUGAAGAAACAAAAGUUUAUUCCUAACAACAGGGGCAGGCAAACGACAGGUCAAGGCAGGCAGGGGUCAAUAAUCCAGAGAAUGAAUAAAGGAUCCAGAACGGCAGGCAGUCUCAGGGUCAGGGCAGGCAGAACGGUCAAAACCGGGAAGAACUAGAAAACAGGAGCAGGAAAACAGGAAGGAGCAGGGAAACAAACGCUGGUAGGUUUGACGAACAAAACAAAAUGGCAACAGACAGAGAACACAGGUAUAAAUACACAGGGGAUAAUGGGGAAGAUGGGCGACACCUGGAGGGAGGUGGAGACAAUCAACAAAGACAGGCGAAACAGAUCAAGGUGUGACAAAGGGAAUGUUCUCCGAACUUUAACACCAAAACAUGCUAAAAGGGUUAUCAGAAGGUUUUUUCUACAUAAAAUAAAUAAAGAUAGAUACAAUUUUCCCCUAAUUAACAGAAAACUGGACACUCAAACAUUAGGGGAACAUUACAGGUAAAAUUACAUAAACAUUCUCUCUCCUUAGAAUUGUUAGCUGGAGAGGUCUAUCUAAAUCUAAUCUAAUCUAUUCCCCAUGGUGUUCAGCACAGCUGGGUGACUUUAUACAGUAAGCUCAGGAUGGUGUAGAAGGAAGUCUCUGGUUCUCCCACCUCCCCAUCUGUCCUGCUAGUGAGAGCUUUCUGUCAGCUAUGGCACAUUAACAGAGAGCUGCAGAUUUUACCGCACAGGGUACCAGAGGUGUGGACUCGAGUCACAUGACUUGGACUCGAGUCAGACUCGAGUCGCAAAUAUGAUGACUUGCAACUCGACUUUGACUUUAACACCAAUUACUCGUGACUUGACUUGGACUUGAGCCUUAUGACUUGACCUGACUUGAUACCCUCCCCAAGCCCAAAUAUAAAAAAUUAUGCUAUUAAAAAAGUGUGCAGCGCAUCAACUCUUCAUUUAACGGAUUACAGUUUGAAUCGGACAGCAGCCAAUCAAAUUGUGCCAGCUGAGAAAAAGUAUUUCUCAUGGCUACCCAUGUAUUUCCAUGGAAAUAUAACGUUUAUUUGGAAAGUAAUACAUAUAUAGAUAUUUCUAAAAGCAUUCAUGAUUUGCGUAAAUGUAAUAUACUAUUACUCUUGUUAAAAAUAUGAAACGGUAUUACAUUUGGUGAAGCGCACAUUAUGACUGUUUAGGACUCGAAACUCAAAGUUUAGGACUUGAGACUUGACUUGAGAGUUGGCUCGGACUUGCCUGUCUUGACUUGAGACUUGAGACUUACUUGUGACUUGCAAAACAAUGACUUGGUCCCACCACUGCAGGGUACAGACAGACAAUAAAGGGGAUCUCCAGAUCUCUCCCUCUCACUCUCUCGAUACACACACAUUCCAUACUGCUGAAAGAGUGCAGACAAACAGUUUUUAAUGGAACCAUGCUUUAAAAGAAAAUGUAUGUGUAACUGACACAAAGUUAAAUAAAUGAAGUAUUUCCAAAUAAACAAGGUUACAAAGUCAGGCGUAGGGGCAAGGGCUGCCUGGGGCAGGCUGGGUUGAGAUAUGCAGGGGUAGGGGCUGGUUGGGCAGAAGCAGGGCUAAGGGCAGAGGCAGGCUGGGUUGAGGUAUGCAGGGGUAGGGGCUGGUUGGGCAGAAGCAGGGCUAAGGGCAGAGGCAGGCUGGUGGAGGUAUGCAGGGGUAGGGGCUGGUUGGGCAGAAGCAGGGCUAAGGGCAGAGGCAGGCUGGUGGAGGUGUGCAGGGGUAGGGGCUGGUUGGGCAGAAGCAGGGCUAAGGGCAGAGGCAGGGUGGGUGGAGGUGUGCAUGGAUCCACUGAUGCUGACUGUAGCUCCAUUGUGGUCCCUCCUGCUGUACGUCCCUGUUGCACAACAGACACCUACAGAAGGGAGGGACCACAGCACAGACAGAUUUGAUGAUGUCCAAAAUCACAAGUGAGUAGGCUACUUUCAGGAAAGUCUGCCUCUGCGGAUUCAGCCUGGUCCUACCUAUGGGGGUCCAUGGGUGAGGAUGGGAGGUUCUGGGGCAUCCCAGGGCCAUGCCUGGUGUGUGGGGGUUGGUGUCCCAAUCAGAACUGCCCUGGGGUGGGUGGACCCUGGGCACUAGGCCCAUCUAUGAGGGACAACGGUUCAACCACCAAUAAAUCCAG